RNAcentral lists this long non-coding RNA (215 nucleotides) under Dromaius novaehollandiae (emu). Its description in RNAcentral is "lncRNA (ENSDNVG00000018507.1)". The record is from RNAcentral. Lineage: Eukaryota; Metazoa; Chordata; Aves; Casuariiformes; Dromaiidae.
UGUAUGCUCAUCUUCAAGCAUUAACAAGAGAAAAGGAAAAAAUAACAGGGAAAUGGUACCUGCAGCACAGAUGGGAACAGACCCAAAAGAGCUGGAUAAGCUUCAGACAAUGUAGAAAAAACAAGGACAAUGAAGAGUAUAUAACCACUCAAAGAAGGACUGCUCUCCCUUUCGCAACACGAAAUGCAGUCGUUACUCACUGUUGCUGGGAAUGA